This 468-nucleotide ribosomal RNA is filed under the name uncultured bacterium. RNAcentral's name for it is "partial 16S ribosomal RNA". It matches the Rfam family "Bacterial small subunit ribosomal RNA", at positions 28 to 507 of the family's 1533-position model. The record is from RNAcentral.
GACGAACGCUGGCGGCGUGCUUAACACAUGCAAGUCGAACGGAAAGGCCCUGCUUUUGUGGGGUGCUCGAGUGGCGAACGGGUGAGUAACACGUGAGUAACCUGCCCUUGACUUUGGGAUAACUUUAGGAAACUGGGGCUAAUACCUGAUAGGAGCUCCUGCUGCAUGGUGGGGGUUGGAAAGUUUCGGCGGUUGGGGAUGGACUCGCGGCUUAUCAGCUUGUUGGUGGGGUAGUGGCUUACCAAGGCUUUGACGGGUAGCCGGCCUGAGAGGGUGACCGGCCACAUUGGGACUGAGAUACGGCCCAGACUCCUACGUGAGGCAGCAGUGGGGAAUAUUGCACAAUGGGCGGAAGCCUGAUGCAGCAACGCCGCGUGCGGGAUGACGGCCUUCGGGUUGUAAACCGCUUUCGCCUGUGACGAAGCGUGAGUGACGGUAAUGGGUAAAGAAGCACCGGCUAACUACGUG